This 565-nucleotide ribosomal RNA is filed under the name anaerobic ammonium-oxidizing planctomycete GR-WP33-37. RNAcentral's name for it is "bacterial SSU rRNA". It matches the Rfam family "Bacterial small subunit ribosomal RNA", at positions 979 to 1532 of the family's 1533-position model. Lineage: Bacteria; Pseudomonadati; Planctomycetota; Planctomycetia; Planctomycetales. The record is from RNAcentral.
GCUUGACAUGGUAGAAGUAGAAUCCUGAAAGGGUGACGAUCGGUAUCCAGUCCGAAGCUAAUCACAGGUGUUGCAUGGCUGUCGUCAGCUCGUGUCGUGAGACGUUGGGUUAAGUCCCCUAACGAGCGAAACCCUUGUCUUUAGUUGCUAACGGGUAAUGCUGAGCACUUUAGAGAGACUGCCGUCGUUAAGACGGAGGAAGGUGGGGACGACGUCAAGUCAUCAUGGCCCUUAUGUCCCGGGCUGCACACGUGCUACAAUGGUCGGUACAAAGGGAUGCUAAGUCGCGAGAUGGUGCGAAACCUAUAAAGCCGAUCUCAGUUCAGAUUGGAGGCUGAAACUCGCCUCCAUGAAGUUGGAAUCGCUAGUAAUCGCGGAUCAGCUACGCCGCGGUGAAUAUGUUCCCGAGCCUUGUACACACCGCCCGUCAAGCCACCCAAGCAAGAUGCACCCAAAAUCGCCUGCCUAACCCGUAAGGGAGGGAAGUGCCUAAGGUGUGUUUUGUGAGGAGGACUAAGUCGUAACAAGGUAGUCGUAGGAGAACCUGCGGCUGGAUCACCUCCUU